This 77-nucleotide transfer RNA is filed under the name Escherichia coli. Its description in RNAcentral is "tRNA-Arg". It matches the Rfam family "tRNA". From Rfam's summary of the family: Transfer RNA (tRNA) molecules are approximately 80 nucleotides in length. Their secondary structure includes four short double-helical elements and three loops (D, anti-codon, and T loops). The record is from RNAcentral. Lineage: Bacteria; Pseudomonadati; Pseudomonadota; Gammaproteobacteria; Enterobacterales; Enterobacteriaceae. RNAcentral also lists the same sequence under 1 other name.
CGCGGGGUGGAGCAGCCUGGUAGCUCGUCGGGCUCCUAACCCGAAGGUCGUCGGUUCAAAUCCGGCCCCCGCAACCA